This 253-nucleotide ribosomal RNA is filed under the name uncultured bacterium. RNAcentral's name for it is "partial 16S ribosomal RNA". It matches the Rfam family "Bacterial small subunit ribosomal RNA", at positions 524 to 776 of the family's 1533-position model. The record is from RNAcentral.
UACGUAGGGGGCAAGCGUUGUCCGGAAUCAUUGGGCGUAAAGAGCGUGUAGGCGGCCUUAUAAGUCGGCUGUGAAAGUCAAGGGCUCAACCCUUGAAUGCCGGCCGAUACUGUGAGGCUAGAGUCCGGAAGAGGCGAGUGGAAUUCCUGGUGUAGCGGUGAAAUGCGCAGAUAUCAGGAGGAACACCGAUGGCGAAGGCAGCUAGCUGGGACGGUACUGACGCUGAGACGCGAAAGCGUGGGGAGCGAACAGG